Molecule: long non-coding RNA, 524 nt
Organism: Mesocricetus auratus (golden hamster)
Lineage: Eukaryota; Metazoa; Chordata; Mammalia; Rodentia; Cricetidae
Exons: 3
Source: RefSeq, a predicted model, not a curated record
GUUAUUAAAUAUUAAAGUAUAAAAAUGAAGUUGGGCCCUGUGUCCUUGUGUUUAUUCAUGGACUUUAUCUUUUCCUAUUAAUGACUACAUAUAUGCAAAAAAUUUCUAUAGACUGUUGUGUACUGGAAUGGAUGACAUAAAAAUACAAGAUCCAUUAGUGAAUCGGGGCUGGGAUUAUAUGUUGACAAAGGUACCAUAGGUUAAGUGGAAUAGUCAAAUAAAAAUUUUCAGAUGAAGUUUGUUCACAGUUUGUUACACUGUUACACAGAUGUUUUCAAUGGCUGCUGAGGACAUGGGUACCCGGUUCAGCAAUUUGUGACGUCAUGGCCAUAAAUAUUCUUCUUCUUCCUGUUUUAAGACUAAUGGUAAAGGACACAGGCAAAGGACCCCAACCUGGUAGUGUACAUUCCAUCUUGUGGUUUCAAUGGCCAGGUCAGAGAGUGGCCUCAUAGGACCGAGAAUCGAGGGUUGGAACCGAGAGACAGAAGAGUAGCUUUCGACGAAUGGUCCCUCAUGCCGGUCUG